AGUGCGCGCGGCGGCGGCCGACGGCGGCGGAGCUGUGCUGCGCGGCGCGGCACGGCACGGUGGGAGUGUCUCCGGCUGGUCUGCAGGGAGGACACCGACUGAGACCACAAACCCUGGCUCCAGUGUCAUGGAAUCAGUCACCUUUGAGGAUGUGGCCGUGGAGUUCAUCCAGGAGUGGGCAUUGCUGGACAGUGCACGGAGGAGCCUGUGCAGAUACAGGAUGCUGGACCAGUGCAGGACCCUGGCCUCCAGGGGAACUCCACCAUGCAAACCCAGUUGCGUCUCCCAGCUGGGGCCAAGAGCAGAGCCACGGGCAACAGAACAAGGGAUUCUCCAUGCCACAGGUGUAGCCUGGGAAUCUCAACUUAAACCCAAAGAGUUGCCUUCUAUGCAGGAUCUUUUGGAAGAAGCAUCCUCCAGGGACAUGCAAAUGGUAAGAUGCGCGGGGUUUUCCCCGGCUUCCAGCAUGGGAGCAGUUGAGGAACACGUGAGGUGGAAAUACAGGACCAGAGCCAGGGAGAUGUUAGCAGCGUGGGUGUCUCUUGGAAGGGAAAUGGUGUCUG
Molecule: small RNA, 563 nt
Filed under: Pongo abelii (Sumatran orangutan)
Lineage: Eukaryota; Metazoa; Chordata; Mammalia; Primates; Hominidae
Description: retained intron
Source: RNAcentral